This 481-nucleotide ribosomal RNA is filed under the name uncultured bacterium. RNAcentral's name for it is "partial 16S ribosomal RNA". It matches the Rfam family "Bacterial small subunit ribosomal RNA", at positions 28 to 507 of the family's 1533-position model. The record is from RNAcentral.
GAUGAACGCUGGCGGCGUGCUUAACACAUGCAAGUCGAACGAAGCAUUUGCGACAGAUUUUUUCGGAAUGAAGUUGCUUAUGACUGAGUGGCGGACGGGUGAGUAACGCGUGGGUAACCUGCCUUGUACUGGGGGAUAGCAGCGGGAAACGGCUGGUAAUACCGCAUAAGCGCACAAUGUUGCAUGACAUGGUGUGAAAAACUCCGGUGGUAUAAGAUGGACCCGCGUCUGAUUAGCUAGUUGGUGAGCUAACAGCCCACCAAGGCGACGAUCAGUAGCCGACCUGAGAGGGUGACCGGCCACAUUGGGACUGCGACACGGCCCCGACUCCUACGGGAGGCAGCAGUGGGGAAUAUUGCACAAUGGAGGAAACUCUGAUGCCGCGACGCCGCGUGAGUGAAGAAGUAAUUCGUUAUGUAACGCUCUAUCAGCAGGGAAGAUAGUGACGGUACCUGACGAAGAAGCGCCGGCUAAAUACGUG